UCUUCAUUCCUUCUUAAGUUUAUUCUUCACUAUCUAUUGUUUAUCUUCUUCUUCUCCUCCCCUGCGACAUCAUUUCUCACUCAACAUUGAUCCAUGGCAUGUGUUUAUCAGUGGAUUCGUCUUUACCAGCCUUCUCAUCACCUAACUCAAGACUAGAUUCACUGGACAGAGGUCGUUGGCUGUACGUGGAAGAAUACAUCGGACCCAUGCCGUCACCGUCGCUAACAAGAGAGGCGGCAAGAGAGUCAAUCAUCAACCCUAAUUUUUUAAUGGGUUUGGAUAUGUUGUUGAAUUUGGGCUUAGAUUUGGCCCAUUAACUAUUGGUCUGUAAAUGUAAAAAUGUUAAUUUGAGCCUUUUAUCUUUUAUGUUGGUCUAAUUUGGUUCGAAUUAACCGAAAUAGAUUUAAAUUCGGUUUAGUUCGGAAUUGAUUUUAAACCUAAUAACCGAACCAAAAUAACCAACUUCCGAACCGAA
This is a non-coding RNA of Camelina sativa (false flax), 475 nucleotides long. The record is from RefSeq and is a predicted model, not a curated record. NCBI's taxonomy places the organism in Eukaryota, Viridiplantae, Streptophyta, Magnoliopsida, Brassicales, Brassicaceae.